GGGGAUUUAGCUCAGUGGUAGAGCGCUUGCCUAACAAGUGCAAGGCCCUGGGUUCGGUCCCCAGCUCCG
Non-coding RNA from Rattus norvegicus (Norway rat), 69 nucleotides. Lineage: Eukaryota; Metazoa; Chordata; Mammalia; Rodentia; Muridae. The record is from Rfam.